GGGCCCGCACAAGCGGUGGAGCAUGUGGUUUAAUUCGAUGCAACGCGAAAAACCUUACCUACCCUUGACAUAGUCAGAACUUACCAGAGAUGGUUCGGUGCCGAAAGGAACUGACAUACAGGUGCUGCAUGGCUGUCGUCAGCUCGUGUCGUGAGAUGUUGGGUUAAGUCCCGUAACGAGCGCAACCCUUAUCCUUAGUUGCCAGCGAUUUGGUCGGGGACUCUAAGGAGACUGCCGGUGAUAAACCGGAGGAAGGCGGGGACGACGUCAAGUCAUCAUGGCCCUUACGGGUAGGGCUACACACGUGCUACAAUGGCAGGUACAGAGGGCAGCGAAGCGGUGACGUGGAGCGAAUCUCAGAAAGCCUGUCGUAGUCCGGAUUGCAGUCUGCAACUCGACUGCAUGAAGUCGGAAUCGCUAGUAAUCG
Molecule: ribosomal RNA, 427 nt
Filed under: uncultured bacterium
Lineage: Bacteria
Description: bacterial SSU rRNA
Rfam family: Bacterial small subunit ribosomal RNA
Source: RNAcentral